AAGAAGAAGAGGGCAUCCUUCAAGAGGAAGUCCAGCAAGAAAGGGCCUGAGGAGGGCCGCUGGAGACCCUUCAUCAUCAGGCCCACCCCCUCCCCCCUCAUGAAGCCCCUGCUGGUGUUUGUGAACCCCAAGAGUGGGGGCAACCAGGGUGCAAAGAUCAUCCAGUCUUUCCUCUGGUAUCUCAAUCCCCGACAAGUCUUCGACCUGAGCCAGGGAGGGCCCAAGGAGGCGUAAGUACUUGCCAAGGUUUUGUGGGGGACAUGGGGGGGAACUUGCCUCACUCCUGGGGUACAGCACACAUCCCCUGACCCCACUGCCAUCUUCCCAUGAGCCCAGGCUGGAGAUGUACCGCAAAGUGCACAACCUGCGGAUCCUGGCGUGCGGGGGCGACGGCACGGUGAGCUCCCCACAUGGGCCAGCCGAGCACCAGGGCUGGGCCUGAAGCCGGGGUCCCUGUGGGCCUGACUUGCCUCUGUUCUCCCUCCCCCAGGUGGGCUGGAUCCUCUCCACCCUGGACCAGCUACGCCUGAAGCCACCACCCCCUGUUGCCAUCCUGCCCCUGGGUACUGGCAACGACUUGGCCCGAACCCUCAACUGGGGUGGGGUAAGCACCCAUA
This 617-nucleotide small RNA is filed under the name Pan troglodytes (chimpanzee). RNAcentral describes it as "retained intron". The record is from RNAcentral. Lineage: Eukaryota; Metazoa; Chordata; Mammalia; Primates; Hominidae.